Molecule: long non-coding RNA, 564 nt
Filed under: Vigna radiata
Lineage: Eukaryota; Viridiplantae; Streptophyta; Magnoliopsida; Fabales; Fabaceae
Description: long non-coding RNA (VRAD_LNC003151)
Source: RNAcentral
CUCAUAUUAAAUCACUGAAAUAUAAAAUUUCAACAUAAUGGUAAGCAAGUAAAAUCCAACAAAAACAGUACAGCACUGCACCGAAAGUACGGUGUUUCACCUAUGAAUUAUUGAUACAAACAAGAACAAGAAACACACAGGGUUCUAAAUGCACCUUGAGUUUAGGGGACUGAAAAACCAACCUUUACAGUCAUAGACUUAUUUGUUAAGUUAUUUCAAACAAAAUCUAUGGCUAUAAAGCUGUUGGACCAUGGGUGCACCCUGAACAUCAAGGUGCAUGUUAGACCAUAAACACUAGCACGCAGAAGAUAAAUUCAUAUUUAUAUAUAGGAGGUAUAACAGUAAUGGAAGGUACACUUCUGUGAGUGAUUCCCAGUAAUGGAAGGUACACUUCUUAAUUUUUUCAUUAUUGAUCUUUAUAUAAUGGUAGAACUUCCUGCGAAAAUGAUUCCCAGUAAUGGAAGGUACACUUCUGUGAGUGAUUUAGCAGAACUGACAAGCAUAAAAGUGGCCCAAAACAUUAGCAUUGAACCCUGCAUCCUAGAGAAUGGUGCACCAUUAACA